This 1474-nucleotide long non-coding RNA is filed under the name Monodelphis domestica (gray short-tailed opossum). Its description in RNAcentral is "lncRNA (ENSMODG00000043926.1)". The record is from RNAcentral. Lineage: Eukaryota; Metazoa; Chordata; Mammalia; Didelphimorphia; Didelphidae.
UGCGCGCCUAGCCAGAAGGCAUUCGCACCGCCGCCGCCGCCCUCCCUCCUGCGGCCGUUACUGGCCUUGACCGGGGCGACCAGCGAUGCUAGUACAACUGAGUGGCUGCUCAGCCCCCCCACAGUCUGCUGCGGGCUAGAAGCGCCAAAGCGAACCGGCUCGGCUUCCGGAAACUGUAGCCCGGCGCAGAGGCAGGUGAAGCUAGAUUCGAAUCCCGAGGGUGGGCUGUUGACUCUCAACUCUGCUAUUUGAGCACUACUAGGAAAGCUGUUGGCGAGGAACAUAGUGUACAGGCUGCACCGGGCGUGAGUGCCCCAAGUGGAAGGUGAAUGGCUGUCACAUGGCCGUUUAUAACUAACUGUUCAGCCCUUGAGAGAAUGUGUACGGACUUCUAUGUGCUAUCACCCUGGCCAGCCAAAGAACAGGGCUUUGACUCUUGACCUGAAUUGGGAAUGAAAGGACUCAGCUUUCCGCCCCCCGGGAAGAAACUCUGGGAGGGGGAGAAUUGGCCAAAGUGCGACACCAGAGCUAGUCAUUUGGACUCCUUUGUCACGGUUUGAAUGUCGUGACUCGUCGAUUUUGCGGGUGUGGAGCCUUCUUCAUAUAGUUAGCGCUUGAAAGCGCAUUAUCUAAUUGUAACACCUGCAUUAAGACCAGCCAAAAGAAUUUUCUCGUUUCAAAAGUACUCGUGCUUACCCAAAAAAAAAAAAAAAAGACGCCAGUAGAACGCCUGCUACUUUAUCAUUCCUAAAUUUAUUUAGAACAUUACUUACCCCAGUCUAGGGCUCAAGAAUCUGAGCCCAGCUCCCCAAGACACUGUGCUAGACUCAACCACUGGUUCUCCGUGCCCUCAUUUCUCUGUUAAGCAGCAGGACAGGUUUUAUUUGAACUCAUCGGAUUUUUUAAAGUAAUAACUUACUAGAAUACUAAGGCAUUUACACUGAAUAUGAGAUAAUUUGAGGAAAGCCCCUUCCACCUCUAAAACUGAGCAUCUUAAAAAUGCAUUGACCGCACUUGGACCCUAAAAGAAGCAAGAUCCCCAAAUGGAAGCCAGAAUUUCUAGGUGAUGUUUUCAAAAGUGGAGUUUUUAGCCAGAAUUUUUCCUUAACGUAGAGCUUCAGGUAACUUCUACAUUUCACCUUCAUCAUCGUCAUAUGUAAGAAAAUUUUGAAAGAAAUUGUUGUAAAGCAUGCACAAUUAAAAUUGACUGCAGUUGUCAGUGCACUAAACAUGAAGGUGCCAAUAUUAAGGAUGUGAGUCAGUGUCAAAAAAUACUUAGUAUCAGAAUUGAGAAUUAGAAAGGGUAGAGAACAUCUAGUACAAUCCUCUGGUUUUGCAGCCUAGCAAAGCUGGAGACAGUGUUAAUGAGCCAAACACUUAAGUAGCAAAUAUGUCCAGUUCUGAUUUGAACACCAGUACCCUUCCAUUACACUUGACUCCCUCUCCCUUGGAAUAAAGGCUUCCCACCACUCCA